AUUGAACGCUGGCGGCAGGCCUAACACAUGCAAGUCGAGCGGAUGAGGGGAGCUUGCUCCUCGAUUCAGCGGCGGACGGGUGAGUAAUGCCUAGGAAUCUGCCUAGUAGUGGGGGACAACGUUUCGAAAGGAACGCUAAUACCGCAUACGUCCUACGGGAGAAAGUGGGGGAUCCUCGGACCUCACGCUAUUAGAUGAGCCUAGGUCGGAUUAGCUAGUUGGUAGGGUAAAGGCCUACCAAGGCGACGAUCCGUAACUGGUCUGAGAGGAUGAUCAGUCACACUGGAACGGAGACACGGUCCAGACUCCUACGGGAGGCAGCAGUGGGGAAUAUUGGACAAUGGGCGAAAGCCUGAUCCAGCCAUGCCGCGUGUGUGAAGAAGGCCUUCGGGUCGUAAAGCACUUUAAGUUGGGAGGAAGGGCUCAUAGCGAAUACCUGUGAGUUUUGACGUUACCAACAGAAUAAGCACCGGCUAACUUCGUGCCAGCAGCCGCGGUAA
This 500-nucleotide ribosomal RNA is filed under the name uncultured bacterium. RNAcentral describes it as "partial 16S ribosomal RNA". It matches the Rfam family "Bacterial small subunit ribosomal RNA", at positions 30 to 523 of the family's 1533-position model. The record is from RNAcentral.